AAACAUCUGUGUGUGGAUAAUGUUCAACAUUAGGAACAGGUUUGUUUGCCUGUGUGUGGAUGGUGUUUGGCACGAAGAACAGGAAUGUUUGUGU
This 94-nucleotide microRNA precursor is filed under the name Branchiostoma floridae (Florida lancelet). Its description in RNAcentral is "mir-2060 microRNA precursor family". It matches the Rfam family "mir-2060 microRNA precursor family". Lineage: Eukaryota; Metazoa; Chordata; Leptocardii; Amphioxiformes; Branchiostomatidae. The record is from Rfam by way of RNAcentral.